This 26-nucleotide non-coding RNA is filed under the name Homo sapiens (human). The record is from RNAcentral. Lineage: Eukaryota; Metazoa; Chordata; Mammalia; Primates; Hominidae.
GAUAGCAUGAGUUGGGUAUAAGAACA